GUCUACGGCCAUACCCCCUGAAUGCACCCGAUCUCGUCUGAACUUGGAAGCUGAGCAGGGUCAAGCCUGGUUAGUACUUGGAUGGGAGAAUUACUGGUGCAGCUUCCU
Molecule: ribosomal RNA, 108 nt
Organism: Panthera pardus (leopard)
Lineage: Eukaryota; Metazoa; Chordata; Mammalia; Carnivora; Felidae
Source: Ensembl